GACAAAGGUUGCAAACGUUGUUCGGAAUUACUGGGCAUAAAGCGCACGUAGGCGGUCCGUUAAGUCAUGUGUGAAAUCCCCCAGCUCAACCGGGGAAUUGCGCCUGAUACUGGCGGGCUAGAGAUCGAUAGGGGUGAGUGGAACUCCAGGUGGAGCGGUGAAAUGCGUAGAUAUCUGGAGGAACACCGGUGGCGAAAGCAGCUCACUGGAUCGAUACUGACGCUGAGGUGCGAAAGCUAGGAUAACAAACAGG
RNAcentral lists this ribosomal RNA (253 nucleotides) under uncultured bacterium. RNAcentral describes it as "partial 16S ribosomal RNA". It matches the Rfam family "Bacterial small subunit ribosomal RNA", at positions 524 to 776 of the family's 1533-position model. The record is from RNAcentral.